This 131-nucleotide ribosomal RNA is filed under the name Silene coniflora. Its description in RNAcentral is "partial 18S ribosomal RNA". It matches the Rfam family "Eukaryotic small subunit ribosomal RNA", at positions 1706 to 1831 of the family's 1831-position model. The record is from RNAcentral. Lineage: Eukaryota; Viridiplantae; Streptophyta; Magnoliopsida; Caryophyllales; Caryophyllaceae.
GUGUUGGGAUCGGGGCGACGUGGGCGGUUCGCCGCCGACGACGUCGCGAGAAGUUCACUGAACCUUAUCAUUUAGAGGAAGGAGAAGUCGUAACAAGGUUUCCGUAGGUGAACCUGCGGAAGGAUCAUUGU